RNAcentral lists this ribosomal RNA (796 nucleotides) under uncultured bacterium. Its description in RNAcentral is "bacterial SSU rRNA". It matches the Rfam family "Bacterial small subunit ribosomal RNA", at positions 8 to 796 of the family's 1533-position model. The record is from RNAcentral.
AGAGUUUGAUCCUGGCUCAGGAUGAACGCUAGCGAUAGGCUUAACACAUGCAAGUCGAGGGGCAGCACAUGAGUAGCAAUACGAUGGUGGCGACCGGCGCACGGGUGAGUAACACGUAUGCAACCUGCCCAUAACUGGGGAAUAACCCGUCGAAAGGCGGACUAAUACCGCAUAACAAUGAUUGUCUGCAUGGACGAUUAUUUAAAGAUUUAUCGGUUAUGGAUGGGCAUGCGUUCCAUUAGAUAGUUGGUAGGGUAACGACCUACCAAGUCUACGAUGGAUAGGGGUUCUGAGAGGAAGGUCCCCCACACUGGUACUGAGACACGGACCAGACUCCUACGGGAGGCAGCAGUGAGGAAUAUUGGUCAAUGGUCGAGAGACUGAACCAGCCAAAUCGCGUGAAGGAUGAAGGUAUUAUGUAUUGUAAACUUCUUUUGUCAGGGAAUAAAGUGCAUCACGUGUGAUGUUUUGUAUGUACCUGAAGAAUAAGGAUCGGCUAACUCCGUGCCAGCAGCCGCGGUAAUACGGAGGAUCCGAGCGUUAUCCGGAUUUAUUGGGUUUAAAGGGUGCGUAGGCGGACUAAUAAGUCAGCGGUGAAAGUUUGCGGCUCAACCGUAAAAUUGCCGUUGAUACUGUUGGUCUUGAGUGUAGAUGAGGUGGGUGGAAUUCGUAGUGUAGCGGUGAAAUGCUUAGAUAUUACGAAGAACUCCAAUUGCGUAGGCAGCUCACUGGGCUACAACUGACGCUGAGGCACGAAGGUGCGGGGAUCAAACAGGAUUAGAUACCCUGGUAGUCG